Molecule: long non-coding RNA, 874 nt
Organism: Oreochromis aureus
Lineage: Eukaryota; Metazoa; Chordata; Actinopteri; Cichliformes; Cichlidae
Source: Ensembl
GCGCCAAAUCACAACAAAAGUUACCUCAAGGCGCUUCAUAGAUACAGAGAAAAACCCAACAAUCUUGUGACCCCCUAUGAGCAAGCACUUUGGCAACAGUGGGAAGGAAAAACUCCCUUUUAACAGGAAGAAACCUCCGACAGAACCACGCUCAGGUACGGGCAGCCAUCUGCUGCGACCGCUUGGCGUGAGCUAACAGAGGCUUUGACGAGAGAGACCUAAUAUUUAAUAAUCCAUAUUUCACUGUUUUAUUCUUCGGUUCAGAUGUGGAUUCUGUAUUGUUCUUGCUUUGUUACUAUUGAUGUUUUGUUUGUUUAGCAUAAUCUCUUUUGUUAUAUUUUAGCUUUAACAGGGAACAUGCCUCUCUGGAGCUUCUCUCCUGAUGCUACCCUGCCAAAGACCCUUAUCCAUAGAGACUAUGUCAGCUCCCAAACAGACAGCAACAAACCAAAUCUAGCAAUAAACAACUUAAACAUCAAUAAUAACAAAGCAAGAACAAUACAGAAUCCACAUCUGAACCGAAGAAUAAAACAGUGAAAUGUGGAUUAUUAAAUAUUAGGUCUCUCUCUUCAAAGCCUCUGUUGGCUCACGCCGAGCGGUCGCAGCAGAUGGCUGCCCGUACCUGAGCGUGGUUCUGCCGGAGGUUUCUUCCUGUUAAAAGGGAGUUUUUCCUGCCCACUGUUGCCAAAGUGCUUGCUCAUAGGGCGUCACAAGAUUGUUGGGUUUUUCUCUGUAUCUAUGAAGCGCCUGGAGGCAAUUUUUGUUGUGAUUUAGCGCUAUAUAAAUAAAAUUCAAUUGAAUUGUAUUGAAGUAAACUUAAUGUGAUAAAUUAGGAAUUAGUUCAUUUCUCAAGUGAAAAAUGAAAAAGGGGGAC